This 64-nucleotide transfer RNA is filed under the name Chyliza bambusae. RNAcentral describes it as "tRNA-His". The record is from RNAcentral. Lineage: Eukaryota; Metazoa; Arthropoda; Insecta; Diptera; Psilidae.
AUUUAAAUAGUUUAUAAAAAUACUGAUUUGUGGUGUCAGAGAUAAGAGUUUCUCUUUUUAGAUA